UACAGAGGGUGCGAGCGUUGUUCGGAAUUAUUGGGCGUAAAGGGCGCGUAGGCGGUGCGGUAAGUCACCUGUGAAAUCUCCUGGCUCAACUGGGAGCUUGCAGGCGAAACUACGUGGCUGGAGUGUGGCAGAGGAAGGUGGAAUUCCACGUGUAGCGGUGAAAUGCGUAGAGAUGUGGAGGAACACCGAUGGCGAAGGCAGCCUUCUGGGCCAACACUGACGCUCAUGCACGAAAGCGUGGGGAGCAAACAGG
Molecule: ribosomal RNA, 253 nt
Filed under: uncultured bacterium
Lineage: Bacteria
Description: partial 16S ribosomal RNA
Rfam family: Bacterial small subunit ribosomal RNA
Source: RNAcentral